UACGUAGGGGGCAAGCGUUGUCCGGAUUUAUUGGGCGUAAAGAGCGUGUAGGCGGCUAGAUAGGUCCGUUGUGAAAACUCGAGGCUCAACCUCGAGACGCCGGUGGAAACCAUCUAGCUAGAGUCCGGAAGAGGAGAGUGGAAUUCCUGGUGUAGCGGUGAAAUGCGCAGAUAUCAGGAAGAACACCUAUGGCGAAGGCAGCACUCUGGGACGGUACUGACGCUGAGACGCGAAAGCGUGGGGAGCGAACAGG
Molecule: ribosomal RNA, 253 nt
Filed under: uncultured bacterium
Lineage: Bacteria
Description: partial 16S ribosomal RNA
Rfam family: Bacterial small subunit ribosomal RNA
Source: RNAcentral